RNAcentral lists this transfer RNA (87 nucleotides) under Oscillospiraceae bacterium. Its description in RNAcentral is "tRNA-Leu". It matches the Rfam family "tRNA". From Rfam's summary of the family: Transfer RNA (tRNA) molecules are approximately 80 nucleotides in length. The record is from RNAcentral. Lineage: Bacteria; Bacillati; Bacillota; Clostridia; Eubacteriales; Oscillospiraceae.
GCGGCUAUGGUGGAACUGGCAGACACGCAGCGUUGAGGUCGCUGUGCUCGUAAGGGCAUGGAGGUUCAAGUCCUCUUAGCCGCACCA